RNAcentral lists this ribosomal RNA (497 nucleotides) under uncultured bacterium. RNAcentral describes it as "partial 16S ribosomal RNA". It matches the Rfam family "Bacterial small subunit ribosomal RNA", at positions 28 to 507 of the family's 1533-position model. The record is from RNAcentral.
GAUGAACGCUGGCGGCGUGCCUAAUACAUGCAAGUCGAGCGACCGGACGAUAAGCUUGCUCCUCUGAUGUUAGCGGCGGACGGGCGAGUAACACAUGGAUAACCUACCUAUAAGACUGGGAUAACUUCGGGAAACCGGAGCUAAUACUUCAUAAUACUUUGAACCGCAUGGUUCAAAGGUGAAAGACGGUCUUGCGGUCACUUAUAGAUGGAUCCGCGCUGCAUUAUCUAGUUGGUAAGGUAACGGCCUACCAAGGCAACGAUGCAUAGCCGAUCUGAGAGGGGGAUAGGCCACCCUGGAACUGGGCCACGGUCCAGACUCCUACGGGAGGCAGCAGUAGGGAAUUGUGCGCAAUGGGCGAAAGCCUGACGCAGCCAUGCCGAGUGAGUGAUGAAGCUCUUCGGCUCGUAAAACUCUGUUAUUAGGGAAGAACAUAUGUGUCAGUAACUGUGCCCAUUUUGACGGUACCCAAGCAAAAAGCAACGGCUAACUUCGUG